ACGUCCAAGCAGUGAGAUUGAGUGUUAGGCAAAUCCGGCACUCUUAAGAUUGAGCUGUGAUGGGGAGAGGAACUUGUUCCUCGAGUCGUUGAUUUCACACUGCCGAGAAAAGCCUCUAGCUAGAAUAACGGUGCCCGUACCGCAAACCGACACAGGUAGUCAAGAUGAGAAUUCUAAGGUGAGCGAGCGAACUCUCGUUAAGGAACUCGGCAAAAUGACCCCGUAACUUCGGGAGAAGGGGUGCUCUUUGAGGUUCACGCUUCGAAGAGCCGCAGUGAAUAGGCCCAAGCGACUGUUUAUCAAAAACACAGGUCUCUGCUAAACCGUAAGGUGACGUAUAGGGGCUGACGCCUGCCCGGUGCUGGAAGGUUAAGAGGAGUGGUUAGCGCAAGCGAAGCUACGAAUCGAAGCCCCAGUAAACGGCGGCCGUAACUAUAACGGUCCUAAGGUAGCGAAAUUCCUUGUCGGGUAAGUUCCGACCCGCACGAAAGGCGUAACGAUUUGGGCACUGUCUCAACGAGAGACUCGGUGAAAUCAUAGUACCGGUGAAGAUGCCGGUUACCCGCGACAGGACGGAAAGACCCCGUGGAGCUUUACUGUAGCCUGAUAUUGAAAUUCGGUACAGUUUGUACAGGAUAGGUAGGAGCCUUAGAAGCGUGAGCGCUAGCUUACGUGGAGGCAUUGGUGGGAUACUACCCUAAUUGUAUUGGAUUUCUAACCCGCAGCACUUAUCGUGCUGGGAGACAGUGUCAGGCGGGCAGUUUGACUGGGGCGGUCGCCUCCUAAAGAGUAACGGAGGCGCUCAAAGGUUCCCUCAGAAUGGUUGGAAAUCAUUCAUAGAGUGUAAAGGCAUAAGGGAGCUUGACUGCGAGACCUACAAGUCGAGCAGGGUCGAAAGACGGA
Molecule: ribosomal RNA, 903 nt
Filed under: Staphylococcus pseudintermedius
Lineage: Bacteria; Bacillati; Bacillota; Bacilli; Caryophanales; Staphylococcaceae
Description: partial 23S ribosomal RNA
Rfam family: Bacterial large subunit ribosomal RNA
Source: RNAcentral